UACGGAGGGUGCAAGCGUUGUUCGGAAUCAUUGGGCGUAAAGCGCGUGUAGGCGGCUUGGCAAGUCGGUUGUGAAAGCCCGGGGCCCAACCCCGGAACUGCAUCUGAAACUGCCUGGCUAGAGUCCCGGAGAGGAAGGCAGAAUUCCCGGUGUAGGGGUGAAAUCCGUAGAUAUCGGGAGGAAUACCAGCGGCGAAGGCGGCGUUCUGGACGGUGACUGACGCUGAGACGCGAAAGCGUGGGGAGCAAACAGG
RNAcentral lists this ribosomal RNA (253 nucleotides) under uncultured bacterium. Its description in RNAcentral is "partial 16S ribosomal RNA". It matches the Rfam family "Bacterial small subunit ribosomal RNA", at positions 524 to 776 of the family's 1533-position model. The record is from RNAcentral.